UACGAAGGGGGCGAGCGUUGUUCGGAUUUACUGGGCGUAAAGGGCGCGCAGGCGGCUUGUUUUGUCAGGCGUGAAAGCCCCGGGCUUAACCUGGGAACUGCGUUUGAUACGGACGGGCUAGAGUUCGGGAGAGGAGAGUGGAAUUCCCAGUGUAGAGGUGAAAUUCGUAGAUAUUGGGAAGAACACCGGUGGCGAAGGCGGCUCUCUGGACCGAGACUGACGCUGAGGCGCGAAAGCGUGGGUAGCAAACAGG
RNAcentral lists this ribosomal RNA (253 nucleotides) under uncultured bacterium. RNAcentral describes it as "partial 16S ribosomal RNA". It matches the Rfam family "Bacterial small subunit ribosomal RNA", at positions 524 to 776 of the family's 1533-position model. The record is from RNAcentral.